UGUAGUUUCAACGAUGAGGCAUAUAUGUCAACUAUGGGCGUUGGCUCCAACAAUUCACAUUGGUCUCGAACCAAUGACAUGCAUUCCGAUGAACAUGAGUUCGAGGUGGAUGAGGAUGGUGAGGGCAUUGUCGACACACCGAAAGGACGAGGAGGCAACUACACUAAUGAUGAAGACGUCUUGCUAUGCAAUACUUUGUUGCAAGUGUCGAGGGAUCCAUCCAUUGGAGGUGAUCAAAGUAGAGAUGCUUAUUGGAACCAGAUGAAGGAGCAUUUUGAUCUACACAACAAGAGUGGAAUUGACCGCUCGAAAUGA
RNAcentral lists this ribosomal RNA (315 nucleotides) under Triticum aestivum (bread wheat). Its description in RNAcentral is "partial small subunit ribosomal RNA". The record is from RNAcentral. Lineage: Eukaryota; Viridiplantae; Streptophyta; Magnoliopsida; Poales; Poaceae.